UACGGGGGGGGCAAGCGUUGUUCGGAAUUACUGGGCGUAAAGGGUUCGUAGGUGGCCUACUAAGUCAGACGUGAAAUCCCUCAGCUUAACUGGGGAACUGCGUCUGAUACUGGAUGGCUUGGAUCCGGAAGAGGGAUGCGGAAUUCCAGGUGUAGCGGUGAAAUGCGUAGAUAUCAGGAGGAACACCUGCGGUGUAGACGGCUUACUGGACCAUCACUGACGCUGAGGCACGAAAGCGUGGGUAGCAAACAGG
Molecule: ribosomal RNA, 253 nt
Filed under: uncultured bacterium
Lineage: Bacteria
Description: partial 16S ribosomal RNA
Rfam family: Bacterial small subunit ribosomal RNA
Source: RNAcentral